GUGAGCACAUAUCCUCCCUGUUAAAACAGCAAGGGUUGUGGAUUGCUACAGGGACAAAGCCACAACUGCUGCACGUGGCUUCCACAGACUUCAUACAUCAUUGAAGACUUGUGUGCCAGCCUUCUGCUCCUUAGGUGUUUCUACGUUUUUUAUUUUAUCCAAAAGCACUAGUUAUUCCUGUGGAGUAUGCUAUGAUUUCUCUGAUAUGCUCUUUGCUACUAUAGUUUUCUCACACUAUUGCUUCUCUUGGAUUGAGGACCAAGGACUUCCCUUUCCCAUGAUCACUUCUCACUAAAGUCUUCUUCAACACCCUCUGCUGAGGGUUGAUCUUGACUCAAUCUGAAGGCUAGACCCCCAAGGGCCUCCUUGACCAGCACACAAUGCCUCAGUGCCUUCCCUCUCCUACGAAGCUACUCAGAUUUCUCCAGAGACCCUAACAAGUGCACCUUAAAGGAGUAGCACCAGCACAAAACAGCAUAUUACAUGCCUCUGGCUUUCCUCCGUAUUCCAAGAGGACAACACUCUGAAAUAAUACUUAGAGCAUCGCUUCAAGGAAACACCAGGAGAAAAAAUGGCCAAAUCUUUCCUGGUACUCUGCUCACUUUUGGUCUUCAUCAUGAUUCAUUCUGCCUCACCUUUCGUUUCAGGCCGUCGAGAAUGGUGGCCACCACAUGGAACUAUUAAGGUGCUCUUCCACUAGAUUUCCCAGGAGUAAACUUCUCAUCUGUGUUUGUUUAUUUCUGAUUGUUAUUUUGGAACACGACUUCAGCGAGAACAUCCAUGACACUUCAAGACCUAGUCACAGGAGGUUGCCGGGUACACUGUUAGUUUGGGAGCCCAAAGCAGAGUGAUCCAGACUGGGAACGAAGUUUCAGGCUGUCCAGAAUGGUGGCCACCACGUGGAACUAUUAAGAUCAAAUGUCCUUAUAAGAGAGUAAAUUUGAGUUGACUCCGUGGAACAAUGGACCUGUGUCGUGGCCUAAAACAACCUAUCUGUGGCACCAGUUCUGUGACCUAUGACAAUCCCUGAAGCUUAUACAUUGAGAGCUUGAAAUCCCUUGGAAGAAUUAAGUUUCGUCAUGAUGGCAGUUGCUAGCUGAGUGGAUUUGGAUGUGGAAGAUGACUUCUUUUUCUUGCCAUCACAACAAUUCUCCUCUUACACAUUGUCCCUCCUCCAUCCCUUCUUGCAUGUAUCUUGGUGACAGACAGCUGCCAUUAUUUAUCUCAAAGUAAAUAGCACAAGGUUCCUUUUCAGACUGCUCCUCUCAUUGACUCACUGACUUCUACACUUUCCCAAAUAAAAUGAACUUUUCUGGGCUAGCUAUGUAGUUUAGUGGCAUGGCAUGCUGGAGGUGCUGGGCUUAAUCUCCACCAUUACAAAUAAAUAAAUAAAUGAAUCAAUAAAAUAAAUAAAUAAACUUUUCUGAAAGUUUGAUUUGA
RNAcentral lists this long non-coding RNA (1440 nucleotides) under Heterocephalus glaber (naked mole-rat). RNAcentral's name for it is "lncRNA (ENSHGLG00100035321.1)". The record is from RNAcentral. Lineage: Eukaryota; Metazoa; Chordata; Mammalia; Rodentia; Bathyergidae.